CUCAGUGACCCUUGGCAGGGCUGAAGUCACUGAGCUUUGUGCUGUCAAGUGUAGAAAACCAGAAUGAAGUGUCUGGAAAAUGGUUAUAGUAGGCAAAUUUUGUGCAUUUAUAAAAAUGCAACCAUUGUUUAGUGACAUAAAAUUAUUAAUGUGAUAGGCUUCUCUCAAGGUCCUCAUUUGUCAGUCCUACAAAGUCCCAUUGGACAAAGUAUUAGUGUUAGUUUAAUCUUCAUUUUCUCUGCAUGAAAUAUCAGUUGUUUUUCUCUCUGUACAUCCUAUCACAGGAUAAUCCAGCACAGUGGUGAAAGGAACCAUGGGUUAAAUCCCAUUAUGGUGGGAAGAGAGAACAUUCUGAAGACAAACUUUCCAGGUCUGAGACCCAGCUCUGCCACUUCCUGGCUGUGUCAAUUUGGCUGGACCAGAAAAAUUAUUUGUACAGAAGAGGUUCAACGGAAUAAUCUUAACCAUAGUAAAUGCAACAGUAUCUCCGGGAUGUCAGCUGAUGGCCAGGUCAGUAGGAGCCAGGACCAAGUCCAGCUGGAUUAAUGAAUGGAUGCUGAAGACCCAGAACAGAGGAGAUAACUGUACCUGAAGCUAAUCACCAACACAGUGAGUUGCUUACUCAAUUUAAAGAGUCUCGCUGGGAAAGGAGCAUUGUUUCCCAUUCUUG
Molecule: long non-coding RNA, 670 nt
Filed under: Mustela putorius furo (domestic ferret)
Lineage: Eukaryota; Metazoa; Chordata; Mammalia; Carnivora; Mustelidae
Description: lncRNA (ENSMPUG00000031658.1)
Source: RNAcentral